RNAcentral lists this ribosomal RNA (464 nucleotides) under uncultured bacterium. Its description in RNAcentral is "partial 16S ribosomal RNA". It matches the Rfam family "Bacterial small subunit ribosomal RNA", at positions 339 to 795 of the family's 1533-position model. The record is from RNAcentral.
CUACGGGGUGCUGCAGUGGGGAAUUUUGGACAAUGGGGGCAACCCUGAUCCAGCCAUGCCGCGUGAGUGAAGAAGGCCUUCGGGUUGUAAAGCUCUUUCAGCCGGGAAGAAAUCGCAUGGGUUAAUACCCUGUGCGGAUGACGGUACCGGAAUAAGAAGCACCGGCUAACUACGUGCCAGCAGCCGCGGUAAUACGUAGGGUGCGAGCGGUAAUCGGAAUUACUGGGCGUAAAGCGUGCGCAGGCGGAUGCUUAAGUCAGAUGUGAAAUCCCCGGGCUUAACCUGGGAAUUGCAUUUGAAACUGGGUGUCUAGAGUGCGUCAGAGGGGGGUGGAAUUCCACGUGUAGCAGUGACAUGCGUAGAUAUGUGGAGGAACACCAAUGGCGAAGGCAGCCCCCUGGGAUGACACUGACGCUCAUGCACGAAAGCGUGGGGAGCAAACAGGAUUAGAUACCCGCGUAGUC